This 479-nucleotide ribosomal RNA is filed under the name uncultured bacterium. Its description in RNAcentral is "partial 16S ribosomal RNA". It matches the Rfam family "Bacterial small subunit ribosomal RNA", at positions 28 to 507 of the family's 1533-position model. The record is from RNAcentral.
GAUGAACGCUAGCGGGAGGCCUAACACAUGCCAGCCGAGCGGUAUUUGUUCUUCGGAACAGAGAGAGCGGCGCACGGGUGCGGAACACGUGUGCAACCUGCCUUUAUCUGGGGGAUAGCCUCUCGAAAGGAAGAUUAAUACCCCAUAAUAUAUUGAGUGGCAUCAUUUGAUAUUGAAAACUCCGGUGGAUAGAGAUGGGCACGCGCAAGAUUAGAUAGUUGGUGAGGUAACGGCUCACCAAGUCAAUGAUCUUUAGGGGGCCUGAGAGGGUGAUCCCCCACACUGGUACUGAGACACGGACCAGACUCCUACGGGAGGCAGCAGUGAGGAAUAUUGGACAAUGGGUUAGCGCCUGAUCCAGCCAUCCCGCGUGAAGGACGACGGCCCUAUGGGUUGUAAACUUCUUUUGUAUAGGGAUAAACCUACUCUCGUGAGAGUAGCUGAAGGUACUAUACGAAUAAGCACCGGCUAACUCCGUG